Molecule: ribosomal RNA, 496 nt
Filed under: uncultured bacterium
Lineage: Bacteria
Description: partial 16S ribosomal RNA
Rfam family: Bacterial small subunit ribosomal RNA
Source: RNAcentral
GAUGAACGCUGGCGGCGUGCCUAAUACAUGCAAGUCGAGCGAACAGAUGAGGAGCUUGCUCCUCUGACGUUAGCGGCGGACGGGUGAGUAACACGUGGAUAACCUACCUAUAAGACUGGGAUAACUUCGGGAAACCGGAGCUAAUACCGGAUAAUAUAUUGAACCGCAUGGUUCAAUAGUGAAAGACGGUUUUGCUGUCACUUAUAGAUGGAUCCGCGCCGCAUUAGCUAGUUGGUAAGGUAACGGCUUACCAAGGCAACGAUGCGUAGCCGACCUGAGAGGGUGAUCGGCCACACUGGAACUGAGACACGGACCAGACUCCUACGGGAGGCAGCAGUAGGGAAUCUUCCGCAAUGGGCGAAAGCCUGACGGAGCAACGCCGCGUGAGUGAUGAAGGUCUUCGGAUCGUAAAACGCUGUUAUUAGGGAAGAACAAAUGUGUAAGUAACUAUGCACGUCUUGACGGGACCUAAUCAGAAAGCCGCGGCUAACUACGU